UACGUAGGGGGCAAGCGUUAUCCGGAUUCAUUGGGCGUAAAGAGCGCGUAAGCGGAUUGUUAAGCGCGAUGUGAAAACUGGGGGCUCAACCCGCAGCCUGCAUCGCGAACUGGCAGUCUUGAGUCUGGUAGAGGAGUGUGGAAUUCCCAGUGUAGCGGUGAAAUGCGCAGAUAUUGGGAGGAACACCGGUGGCGAAGGCGGCACUCUGGGCCACGACUGACGCUGAGGCGCGAAAGCUAGGGGAGCAAACAGG
RNAcentral lists this ribosomal RNA (253 nucleotides) under uncultured bacterium. RNAcentral describes it as "partial 16S ribosomal RNA". It matches the Rfam family "Bacterial small subunit ribosomal RNA", at positions 524 to 776 of the family's 1533-position model. The record is from RNAcentral.